This 501-nucleotide ribosomal RNA is filed under the name uncultured bacterium. RNAcentral describes it as "partial 16S ribosomal RNA". It matches the Rfam family "Bacterial small subunit ribosomal RNA", at positions 29 to 523 of the family's 1533-position model. The record is from RNAcentral.
AUUGAACGCUGGCGGCAUGCCUUACACAUGCAAGUCGAACGGCAGCACGGGUGCUUGCACCUGGUGGCGAGUGGCGAACGGGUGAGUAAUACACCGGAACGUACCUUAUCGUGGGGGAUAACGCAGCGAAAGCUGUGCUAAUACCGCAUACGCCCUGAGGGGGAAAGCGGGGGAUCGAAAGACCUCGCGCGAUUAGAGCGGCCGAUGCCUGAUUAGCUUGUUGGUGGGGUAAAAGCCCACCAAGGCGACGAUCAGUAGCUGGUCUGAGAGGACGAUCAGCCACACUGGGACUGAGACACGGCCCAGACUCCUACGGGAGGCAGCAGUGGGGAAUUUUGGACAAUGGGGGCAACCCUGAUCCAGAAAUGCCGCGUGAGUGAAGAAGGCCUUCGGGUUGUAAAGCUCUUUUGUCAGGGAAGAAACACCGGCUCUAACACAGUCCGGGAAUGACGGUACCUGAAGAAUAAGCACCGGCUAACUACGUGCCAGCAGCCGCAGAAA